Molecule: long non-coding RNA, 1330 nt
Organism: Panicum virgatum (switchgrass)
Lineage: Eukaryota; Viridiplantae; Streptophyta; Magnoliopsida; Poales; Poaceae
Exons: 3
Source: RefSeq, a predicted model, not a curated record
UCCCACGCGCACGCGGCCGCGCGGCUAGCGGGCGGCGACUGGCUAACCGGGGCCGUUCCACGCCACCUCCGCUCCGGCCGUCAAGGGGCGCGGCGGCCUGGGCCUCCUCCUCUGCGACCUCCUCAUCACCGCCGUCGCCGCGGAGCCCCCCGACAGCCACAUCUGCGCCGCUCCCGUGCUCCGCACGUGGAUCCGCACGCAGGGAGACCCCUCCGCGUCUGCCGCCGACCCGGACAGCUAGGCGGCCAAGUAUGGUAGGUGGCGCAGCCUGUGGCCGAGCUCCCGCGUCCCGCCCACAGAGCUCGCUUCCGAUCUCCGCUUUUGCAAGGUCAGCUACAGAGCUCCUCCCCCACCCUCUCUAUCUCACCUGACAUGCAUCUGCUUUCUCUUCGCCCUUGUUUUUAGCGUGUGCCAAGAUUUGAUUAUUUUGUUUCUUCCACGAAGUGGAGUCUGUGGAGGGGUGGUAGCAGGAGGCAGAUCUUGAUCUGUUCUUGGAGGGGAGAGAGGAGCCGGAGUUUGUUGAGAAGCGGUGCUCAUCUCAUCAUCUUCCGCAGCAGGCGACCAGAAAAAAAUCAAGCUCACUCGAGUCCACGGCUCACCACCUCUCCUGUCCAUAGCAAGAAGCAAUGAGUUUGCAUCGGCCAACGAUGAAGAAAUGCUGCUAGGAUUCGAAGCAAAAAAUGCACCAGAGGAUGCUCAUCUCAUCACCAUUCAAGAGGAUAAAGUAUUGCAGCCCAUAGCAAAAUGCACAUACACUGAUUUUGGUAGAUCUUCAGAUCUGAUCAAACUUCCUGCUACACAAUGGUUUUUACGAGCUAGAACCUUCUCAGAUGACCGCAGGAAACUUCACAGAGAGCAAGCGCCUUCUGGGCUGGUCGGUUCCUUUAUGUGGUCGGUUGCAUGGACCGUGUCGUGGUAACCAAUUGCAACAAGCGAUGCUUGUCAUCAUGGGCAGUGGCGUGGUCAAGAUCAACAAUGGCUACGGUCCAUGCAGGUGCAGUUCGCUUGGUACACAACUGAUUGGCUGCAAACACCUGGUAAUAACUAAACUACUAGAAACACAGCGCGGCGCUGCCGCGCCUUACCGAUCGGGCCAAUAGAAUUCGGUGUUUGCCUCUCGGAGGAAGUGCAACACAUGAAAGCUUGCAGCAUUGACAUUGAGGAAAUAUUAGUGCACGUACAAGCAUUGCAAUUGCUAAUAUGCAUAAACAGGAAUUUACAAUUUAAAACUUUUGUAUCAAAAUAUUAUUGACCCUACUGAUCUUGUUCAUAGACAUGUGCAUUACACCGAAUUGCAUUUGGCAAGACAAUGAUAAAAUUUUCAAGCGGA